This 209-nucleotide long non-coding RNA is filed under the name Vitis vinifera (wine grape). RNAcentral describes it as "long non-coding RNA (VVIN_LNC006336)". The record is from RNAcentral. Lineage: Eukaryota; Viridiplantae; Streptophyta; Magnoliopsida; Vitales; Vitaceae.
UCAAUUAGUUAUUGUUGUUGGAGGAUGGGCCCAUCUAUCAUGGGCUCUCCCACCAAGUGAAAAUGUCUUCUUACAUUUUUUUGUUGUCACCCCCAAUUUUUCCAUAAUUUGAACUUGAGACUUUUGAAUUUUUAUAGACAAUCGUUGUUCUUUGAGAUCAUAUAUAGUUAUCGUUUGGAGUUUGAAGAAAUUCAAAAGCAAAGAAAAUU